GAUGAACGCUGGCUACAGGCUUAACACAUGCAAGUCGAGGGGAAACGACGGGGAAGCUUGCUUCCCCGGGCGUCGACCGGCGCACGGGUGAGUAACGCGUAUCCAACCUGCCUCUGACUGAGGGAUAACCCGUCGAAAGUCGGCCUAAUACCUCAUGGUAUCGUCUGCGGGCAUCCAACGACGAUUAAAGAUUUCAUCGGUCAGGGAUGGGGAUGCGUCUGAUUAGCUUGUUGGCGGGGUAACGGCCCACCAAGGCUACGAUCAGUAGGGGUUCUGAGAGGAAGGUCCCCCACAUUGGAACUGAGACACGGUCCAAACUCCUACGGGAGGCAGCAGUGAGGAAUAUUGGUCAAUGGGCGAGAGCCUGAACCAGCCAAGUAGCGUGCAGGAAGACGGCCCUAUGGGUUGUAAACUGCUUUUAUGCGGGGAUAAAGUGAGGGACGUGUCCCUCAUUGCAGGUACCGCAUGAAUAAGAACCGGCUAAUUCCGUG
Molecule: ribosomal RNA, 491 nt
Filed under: uncultured bacterium
Lineage: Bacteria
Description: partial 16S ribosomal RNA
Rfam family: Bacterial small subunit ribosomal RNA
Source: RNAcentral